RNAcentral lists this ribosomal RNA (630 nucleotides) under Cystobasidiopsis lactophilus. Its description in RNAcentral is "LSU rRNA". It matches the Rfam family "Eukaryotic large subunit ribosomal RNA", at positions 34 to 652 of the family's 3401-position model. The record is from RNAcentral. Lineage: Eukaryota; Fungi; Basidiomycota; Agaricostilbomycetes; Agaricostilbales; Chionosphaeraceae.
UUAAGCAUAUCAAUAAGCGGAGGAAAAGAAACUAACAAGGAUUCCCCUAGUAACGGCGAGUGAAGUGGGAAAAGCUCAACUUUGUAAUCUGGCUCUUUCAGAGUCCGAGUUGUAGUCUCGAGAAGCAUCAUCCGCGCCGGACCUUGGAUAUGUCUGUUGGAAAACAGCGUCAUAGAGGGUGACAAUCCCGUUUGUGCCAAGGACGCCCGUGUGCAUUGCGGUGUGCUUUCUAAGAGUCGAGUUGUUUGGGAAUGCAGCUCAAAUUGGGUGGUAAAUUCCAUCUAAAGCUAAAUAUUGGCGAGAGACCGAUAGCGAACAAGUACCGUGAGGGAAAGAUGAAAAGCACUUUGGAAAGAGAAUGAAACAGUAUGUGAAAUUGCUGGAAGGGAAACGUUUGAAGUUAGACUUGCUUUUGUCACAUUCAGCCUUUUAGGUGUACUUGUGGCUUGUGCAGGCCAGCAUCGGUUUGCUUUGCGGUAUAAGGGUGCAUGGGAUGUAGCUGCCUCGGCAGUGUUAUAAACUUGCACUGGAUGCCGAAUCGCAGACCGAGGUUCGCAGCGCGCCUUUUUUGGCAAUGGGCUUGCCCAUCGAGCGCUUAGGAUGCUGGUAGAAUAGCUUUAACCGACCCGU